RNAcentral lists this transfer RNA (84 nucleotides) under Vasconcelosia minhoensis LEGE 07310. RNAcentral describes it as "Phormidium sp. LEGE 07310 tRNA". It matches the Rfam family "tRNA". From Rfam's summary of the family: Transfer RNA (tRNA) molecules are approximately 80 nucleotides in length. Lineage: Bacteria; Bacillati; Cyanobacteriota; Cyanophyceae; Nodosilineales; Cymatolegaceae. The record is from Rfam by way of RNAcentral.
GGGGGCGUGGCGGAAUGGUAGACGCUGCGGAUUUAAAAUCCGUUGACCGUUAAGGUCGUGAGGGUUCAAGUCCCUCCGCCCCUA